Molecule: long non-coding RNA, 1703 nt
Organism: Cyclopterus lumpus (lumpfish)
Lineage: Eukaryota; Metazoa; Chordata; Actinopteri; Perciformes; Cyclopteridae
Exons: 4
Source: RefSeq, a predicted model, not a curated record
CGUCCUGAUGUGCAGGGAUGAAGAGCGCUGGAGGCAGCAGGACCAACUGGAGACGCUGCUGCCGUCGGUCCAUCAUGACCGCCCAUGCACUGACACACAGAAAGAGGAAAAGACGUUUUGGAGAGGACAAAACAAAACAUACUAUCUGCCAUCUUUUGUCCAUCCGGCUCUGGUGAUGUAUUCAGCACUAGGGAACAGGCUGGUGAAGGGAACAGGCAACUCCUUCUCCUGGGUGCUGACAAUCUGAGGACGAAACAACAAGAAGCUGGCAUUUGAACUUCUCUUGGAAGAACUUCCUGCCAAGAAGUCUACGACAGCAAUCCAUGCCAUCUUCGUGCUCACCUUCACGAGCAGCUGGUGACCACCAGUAUCCAGUGAAACGGUCAAACUCUUCCUGCGUGACAAAAGUGGCAAUACCGGCAGAUUUGGGGUCGUCUUUUGGGUUAUCAAUACCUAAAAUAAAUACAGAAAUAGAAAGCAAAAAUAGAAACACUGUGUGAAAACGUCAAAGUACCAGGUGAGACUCUCCAGGAACUUCUGUGUCAAUCCUGACCUUUGUGGCAGAAGGUAAGCCUCCUCUCUUCCCCCGUCUCAGUGCUGGUCACCCAAAUGUCAUUGUUGUUGAUGAAGCCAAUGAAGUUGGGGUCCCCAGGGCAGAUCUUGGGGUCCAUGCGUGUGCCUGAACUCCGGCUCUUAAUUUCAACAGGGUCCAUGGGAGAAGUCUGCACAGAGAAGUUGAAGGACAUCUGAGGUCACAGCUGCUUUAGUUCUACACUUUAGUCUUGCUGGAGGACCAGAAGACACUUGUUGCCGCGGCUGAGAGCAACACACCAGUGGGCUGAAUGGAGAUGAUGUGUGGCCAGUGCUGGUGGUGGUGGCACACUGGCAGUUGAAUAAAAUCAUGUGGCUAUUACUUUUGUACUUGGAAGAAGUCAUCUCAAGAUAAAUGUAUAUGUGGCCAAAUUGUCAUGAUUCGGGACUAAACCCCAAAUACUCAAACAGGGGCAGAGUCAUUUUCUUUUUUAUUCCCACUACUCAGUCGCCAUCUUUCUCAGCUCGGCUGCCUGUUCAACCAGUAGAGACUGACCUCUGUGAACUACAAUACGUCGCCUCAAUUCAGCAUCUCUGUAUUGGUUUCAUAGAAAGAAGAGGGCCCGUACUUUUGACUAUAUUAAAAAUCACACUGUCUGGAUUUCUAAAUAACCUGGUACAUUGUAACACCUCGAUAGCGUCCAAGUCUAAUAUCAGAGCUGGUAUUGUUUUUAACAUCGCUACUUUCCUGAAAAAAAAUGUAUCUCCAAAUGUUGUGAUUUUUUUCCAAUGAUCAUUGAUAUUAGAAAAAUACUUUACCUCACAGCAGAAAAUAUAACUGAUAAAGAUCUUCUAUUUUUGGUUAAGAAAGAAUUCUGACUAAAGCUGAAGCAAUUACUUUCCAACAUUUAAUGGAAAUAAUCUUUUUUUAUAAUGAAAAUAAAAGCUGGUUGCUGUCCGAAUUGUGAAAGAUAUUUCGUGAAGGUGAAUUCUACAGUUGAAAAAUAAACGUAUCAGUGCACCCUGGUGGACAAACUGUAAUAAUGAGACAUUGUUUCCAAAUUACCUCAACUACAAGCCAUUUCUGUAAUUGAACUACUCGCAUAUGCCAAUACAGAUACAGUAUAUCUGUGAUAAAAUAAUUGACCUUUUCAGCAAUCCAUAUAUUUAAA